RNAcentral lists this ribosomal RNA (427 nucleotides) under Boana cf. fasciata ABGD cluster 39. RNAcentral's name for it is "partial large subunit ribosomal RNA". It matches the Rfam family "Bacterial large subunit ribosomal RNA", at positions 1834 to 2457 of the family's 2925-position model. The record is from RNAcentral. Lineage: Eukaryota; Metazoa; Chordata; Amphibia; Anura; Hylidae.
CUUGAUGAAAUAUGAGAGGUCCAGCCUGCCCAGUGACCUAGUUCAACGGCCGCGGUAUCCUAACCGUGCGAAGGUAGCGUAAUCACUUGUUCUUUAAAUGAGGACUAGUAUGAAUGGCAUCACGAGGGUUAAACUGUCUCCUUUUUCUAAUCAGUGAAACUAAUCUCCCCGUGAAGAAGCGGGGAUUAUUUUAUAAGACGAGAAGACCCUAUGGAGCUUAAAACAAAUUUACACCUGCUUUAAUAUAUUACCCUCCCGAGGACUCACACAAAUUAUAGCAUAACUGAUAAUUAGUUUUCGAUUGGGGUGAUCAUGGAGAAAAAACCAACCUCCACGACGAUAAGGGGGAGCACCUCCUGAGCCAAAAGCCACAACUUUCAGCACUAAAAAAUUAACGCACUUUGACCCAAUUACUUGAGCAACGAAC